AUCUCAUCUCAUCUCAUCUCAUCUCAUCUCAACUCAUCUCAUCUCAUCUCAUCUGUCGUUGUGUGUGUGUAUCGAUCGAUCAAUCAUUUGGUAUAUAUGCACAUGCAAACAGCUAGCAGUACUAUACAUUUUUUAUAUGAUGAAUUAUAAGCUUCACUGUUUAAAUUAACUCGGACCGGCCAGAGGAUAUAUAUGAUCGCGCAUGCAUCAACCAGUGCAAUUAAGCUGCGUGCACAGCUCUCUGAUCCACCCAACAUCAAAUUAAAUAAUAAUGCUGCCGACUAAGCU
This 288-nucleotide long non-coding RNA is filed under the name Sorghum bicolor (sorghum). Its description in RNAcentral is "long non-coding RNA (SBIC_LNC005875)". The record is from RNAcentral. Lineage: Eukaryota; Viridiplantae; Streptophyta; Magnoliopsida; Poales; Poaceae.